AACUGAUACUACCUGCGGGAACCUGCGGAAGGAUCAUUACUGGGUUUUUGGGCUCUGCCCGCCACCCGCCCUCUGUUAUUCGUGACUAUUGUUUCGGCCAGUGGGGGCGACCCCCGGCCGGCAGUAACUCUGAAGCAUCUUGAAGUCUGAUAAACUGUCAAUAAAAAAAACUUUUAACAACGGAUCUCU
RNAcentral lists this unclassified non-coding RNA (189 nucleotides) under soil metagenome. RNAcentral's name for it is "partial contains 5.8S ribosomal RNA, internal transcribed spacer 2, and large subunit ribosomal RNA". The record is from RNAcentral.